UACAGAGGGUGCGAGCGUUAAUCGGAAUUACUGGGUGUAAAGGGCGCGUAGGCGGCAAGAUGUGUGUGAUGUGAAAGCCCCGGGCUUAACCUGGGAAGUGCAUUGCAAACUGUCUGGCUAGAGUACAUGAGAGGGUGGCGGAAUUUCCGGUGUAGCGGUGAAAUGCGUAGAGAUCGGAAGGAACGUCAAUGGCGAAGGCAGCCACCUGGCAUGAUACUGACGCUGAGGCGCGAAAGCGUGGGGAGCGAACAGG
RNAcentral lists this ribosomal RNA (253 nucleotides) under uncultured bacterium. RNAcentral's name for it is "partial 16S ribosomal RNA". It matches the Rfam family "Bacterial small subunit ribosomal RNA", at positions 524 to 776 of the family's 1533-position model. The record is from RNAcentral.